This 499-nucleotide ribosomal RNA is filed under the name uncultured bacterium. Its description in RNAcentral is "partial 16S ribosomal RNA". It matches the Rfam family "Bacterial small subunit ribosomal RNA", at positions 899 to 1397 of the family's 1533-position model. The record is from RNAcentral.
ACUCAAAGGAAUAGACGGGGGCCCGCACAAGCAGUGGAGCAUGUGGUUCAAUUCGAUGCAACGCGAAGAACCUUACCUGGGCUUGACAUAUAAGCUAAGGCCGAUGAAAGUCGGCGUUCCGCAAGGAGAGCUUAAACAGGUGCUGCAUGGCUGUCGUCAGCUCGUGCCGUGAGGUGUUGGGUUAAGUCCCGCAACGAGCGCAACCCUUGUCUUUAGUUGCUACCGGGUAAUGCCGGGCACUCUAAAGAGACUGCCUACGCAAGUAGUGAGGAAGGUGGGGAUGACGUCAAGUCCGCAUGGCCCUUACGCCCAGGGCCACACACGUGCUACAAUGGCAACUACAAAGGGCUGCGAGACCGCGAGGUGGAGCCAAUCCCUAAAAAGUUGUCUCAGUUCGGAUUGGAGUCUGAAACUCGACUCCAUGAAGCUGGAAUUGCUAGUAAUCGUGGAUCAGCACGCCACGGUGAAUACGUUCCCGGGCCUUGUACACACCGCCCGU